Molecule: ribosomal RNA, 253 nt
Filed under: uncultured bacterium
Lineage: Bacteria
Description: partial 16S ribosomal RNA
Rfam family: Bacterial small subunit ribosomal RNA
Source: RNAcentral
UACAGAGGGUGCGAGCGUUGUCCGGAAUCACUGGGCGUAAAGGGCGCGUAGGUGGCGACCCAAGUCGAUGGUGAAAGCUCGCCGCUCAACGGCGAGUCGGCCACUGAUACUGGGUUGUUGGAGCACUGUAGAGGCAGAUGGAAUUCCGGGUGUAGCGGUGGAAUGCGUAGAGAUCCGGAAGAACACCGGUGGCGAAGGCGGUCUGCUGGGCAGUUGCUGACACUGAGGCGCGACAGCGUGGGGAGCAAACAGG